UGCUAGGCGAGCGCGCUACCGCUUGAGCCACAUCCCCAGCCCCGAGAGGAAAUUUUUAAAUAACGUUGUUUCUGUGCUGAAACGCAAUAAAAUAAGACAGUUACAAAAAUAAAGCGCUAUAAUACAAAAGAAUAGAAAUGAAUAGUACAAGAGAAACACAAAGAUCAUGGAAAAAGUGACACUUAAGAUGAGUCUGCUCUAUGGGAGUGAAGGAGCCAGAAAAACAAAGGUAGGCUCCAAAAGAAACAAAACUCAGAAGCAAGUAAUUGUCAGAGAGGAUCUGCAUAAUUAUAACAGGUACAAGCAGCAAGCACCCAAGUAAGUGUCCUGGAAUGGCUGUAUGAAAAGAUGGUGGAGGUCUCCAACAUUACAGUGGGGCUAAAAACAAAGUCACCCAAAACCCUCUUGACUUCCAGUGCAUAUCUAUCGUGAGCUGGUUUCUACAAUCUCUUCCAGGUUUGCAAGUAUUUGAUCUUAGAGUAUUGUGGAAGUUGGUGAAGAGGUCUUAGUAGGAUGUAUGCUAUUACUUCUGUCUCUGGCACUGGCACCUGAAGUCCACAGAGAGCUGAUGAAAGAGAAACUAGUGCCUUCCAUCUUGGAGCUAAAUAUGCAUCCAGUCCAGGAUUGAGGGAAGCUGAUCCAGCAGGAGAACCUGGCAGGAGCCCAGUUACUGCCCCAUGCCAACAAGAUUAAGUGUUUUAAGAAGCCUGUCAGUCUUCUCUAGCUGCUAAGAGAGAUGCUGUUUGGAAGUGGAGGCUGGAGAUCACCCUCAGAGAGCUCAGUGGGCCCUUCAGAAAGGCUUGGGAGGAAGUGCACGUCUCUCAGGCAUUUGUUACCCAAGCUCUGAAAUCUGGAGGAAUGUGAGAGUUAGUGGCGGGUGCUAACUUCACUGGUAACAGUCUAUGGAAUUUAGCAGAGCAGCUUUCAAUCAAUAACAUGUCCUAUCUGCACCUCUGGACAGCUUACAGCUAUACAUUGUGUGCCAUGCAGAUUGGACCUUGGUUAGACAGCAGGAGGCUGUGUGAGAUCCAGUUCACAUUGCACUUGAUAAACCAUGUGCCUGCAGCUUGGGUCCAACUACAGGGGGUGGGGCUUUUUUUCCCCUAAUUUAUACAAAAGUGCCCCAUUGCUUCCGAGUCCUUCCAUCUGCAAUCCAGUCCAACUCCUCUCAAGAUGCAUUUGCAAUUGUUCUACUCCAACAUCUCCAGGAGCAGCAGCAUUCCUGUGAGUUUGUUCUUUGUUCCUGUCCUCUGCCACAGCAGAAGUUCCAUCUUUGUGUUCCAUCUCCCAAGUAGAAGAUUGAAGUCAUUGAAGGAGUGCUUGUUGAUGGCGUCCAGUUUGGCCACCAGGGCAAACACAGACUCCACUAUGGGGCCCAUGUGCAGGUACUAAGAAGGCAAACAUGUGCAGGUACUAAGAAGGCAAACAUGUGCAGAUACAGGUCAGAACUCAACCAAACAGAAAUUACUCCUACAUAAGCCCAAGCUCCAAUCUAAAGGCAACACUGACAAGUUAGAAGUCUAGAGGAAGACUGUGUCUGAAUCUAUGAUUGUGGGCAACAAGAGACAUAUACCUCUAGAACACAUUAACUCCAGUGUCUCAGGCACCAUCAGGCAAAAGCAGCAUGGUGGGUUAAGGUGUGCUUACAAAUUGGGCCCACUCAGAACAAAGGCCACAGUUCCCAGAGACAGCUGUUCUCCCCACAGCAGGCCCCUGUGGCUCGGGGAAUGCCCUUCCUCUUUCACCCUUUAAUGCCUGGAGGGGGAGAGUAUUGUGGGUUGAAUAUGUCCUCCACCCCAUACUCUCAAGUUGAAGUCCUAACCCAGUACCACAGAAUGGGAUUACCAUUUACAUGGAAAUAAGUCAUUAAAGAGGUAAUUAAAUGAGGUCGUUAGGGUAGGCCCUUAUCCAAUAUGGCUAGUGUUCUUGUAAGAAGAGAUUAGGACACGGGCAAACAUAGAGGGACAACCUGUGAGCACACAAGAAGUAGUCGCCAUCUACAGGUCAAGGAGAGAGGCCUCAGGAGGAACCAACCCUGCCACACCUGGAUUUUGGAUUUCCAGCUUCCAGGCUGAGACAGUAAACUGCGAUUGCUUAAACUGCCCAGCCCUGAGAUACUUUAUCACACCUUGUCUGUGAUCCUUGGUUGGGCAGCCCUUGCAAACUAACAUAGGAGGUGACAAUCUCCUGCCUUUACUAAUCUCUCACUGUUUCAUGAAACAGUGAGAGAUUAGUAAAGGCAGGAAUGAAAGAAUUACAGAGCUGCAGGAGAGAAGAAACCAAGUUUCCAAGGAAGAUAGUGGGAAAUUCUAUUUGUAUUUAUUAUUUCUGCUACUGAUUUAUAACACCAAUCAUAUUUAUAUUUAUUUGGG
Ictidomys tridecemlineatus (thirteen-lined ground squirrel) is the source of this 2372-nucleotide non-coding RNA. NCBI's taxonomy places the organism in Eukaryota, Metazoa, Chordata, Mammalia, Rodentia, Sciuridae. The record is from RefSeq and is a predicted model, not a curated record.